This 819-nucleotide long non-coding RNA is filed under the name Fukomys damarensis (Damara mole-rat). Its description in RNAcentral is "lncRNA (ENSFDAG00000029079.1)". The record is from RNAcentral. Lineage: Eukaryota; Metazoa; Chordata; Mammalia; Rodentia; Bathyergidae.
CUGCGUCCCUCACUCUCUGCGGGCUCUAUUCAAAUGUCAUCGGCCAGCAAAGCCUUCCCUGACUGGAUGUUACGAAAUGACAGGGUCUCCACGUCUGGAACCCUACCACAGCAGAACCACCCACUCUUUACGGUCUCCAUACCAAUGAGCGUGUUUUACAUGCGUGUGCAUUUUCUGUUCCCGUAGAGCACAUGCACCCCAGGGUGAGUAUUUCUGUCUUGUUCGUGACGAGUCCCAGGAACCUGUGCAGUGCCUGACUGCGCGCAGGCCGAGGACCUGAAGGAAGCGUGGAGUCAGCUGCCUUGGGGGUGCAAGCGCUUCUGAGGCACAGGUCGCCACUGACUUCCAAAAGGGGGACUGGUUUGCGCUGUCACCACUAGUGGGCAGGUUACUGCUGUUCUUUCUUUCUUAAUUUUUAAAACGUUUUGUUUUGGCAGCACUGGGGCCUGAACCCAGGGCUUUUGUACUGAGCUAAUUUUUUAUGUUGAGACACCGUCUCGCUGAUUCGCUAAAUUGCCUAGGCUGGAUUUGAACUUAUCCGUCUUCCCUCCUCAGCCUCCGGGGGCGUGCACCCCACUGUAUGGCUCCCAUUGGCCCUGCACUGGUGCCUGUCCGGUCUCCUUUCCACGCCAUAUCAGAGGUGGAUCCGGUGGGGGGCACAAGCUGGACGUCUCUCCGGAGCCCCUCUGGCCACCCCACCCACCCAGCGGGGCAGCCCUCCAGGUCAGCCUCUCCCCGGGGCCAGGCCCCAGUUCCUGUCUCCUUCUUAGGCCAAUCCGCUGGGUCCAGUACCAGUCAGCGCCAGCUGGCAGCUCCCAC